CUUACUAAGCAAUAAAGUUUGAUACGCAAACUGAGAUGCCGAACAGCAUUUUAAAUGCGUUGAUUCUAUUUAAUAUCAAUUGUAAAAAAUAAAAACAGUAUAAUGGAGCGGUCCAGUCCCAGACUGUAGUACGGAUAUAGAUAUACAGGAGCUUACUUGCGGCUUACGGUCAUUUCAGGGCAGGGAGAGUUCUUCAGCUUGUGGCUCUUGAUGGCUACUUCGAAGAUGCUGUGACGUGUCUGUGUGCACAACUGGACCGAUGAGGAGAUGACCCAGACGUUGACUGUGUAUGCUGAAUGGGAGCAGAAGAUAAGAGCCAGACCCAGGAACUUUGCCAUGAUAGAUGUAUGGAACCGGAUCACGAGGGAGCACUGAAAAAGAACAGGGAUCUACCACACUGGAGUGCAGGUUUGCCACCGCUAUAAUGACCUGCAUUAGAGUGAUGCAGAGGAGCUGUGGAGGAGGAUAGCCGAGGUGUGGAGACAACCUGUGGAUCCCUACAGCAAGUGGGAAUAUUCUACACAUACCUGAGCAUUCCUAUGGAUUUGAGAUACAUACAGCUAUAUAUAUAUAUCUAUAUAUAUAUAUAUAUAUAUAUAUAUAUAUAUAUAUAUAUAUAUAUAUAUAUAUCGCAUGGUGAUAAUUAAGUUUAAGUGGACUUGUCAGCUGCUGCCCUUAUAACUGUGGGUUCAAUUCCCAUGCUGUUAAUUUAUGUAAUAAUGUUUAGAGUAUCCAUAAUUAUGACCUUUGUAGAUGUACAUAUUUUUUACAACAUCAUUUCACAUUACCAAGAAAAUAGGCCUCUUUUCUCGGAUUGCCGUUUUAGUGUUUUGUUCCUGGGUUUACAUAAUUUCACAUUACCACUGUCCUCAUGCAUUACUGGCUGCUAUAGUGCCUAGGCCGCAGAUGACUGCACACUUUGUAGUUUUCCAUUAUAGUACCACAGUCUCAUAUACUGCACAAUUAUACAUUGGAUUAAAACCAAUAUAGAACUUCUAUAAUUCAUUCCUCCUAAUAAAGUACACAGACACAUUUAUUUAAGCCAAAAAGGAAUGCCUGUCUGACUGUGUGCACAUAUGUUUUCAGAUAUGUGUUGAUAGCUGUUAUUUCUGUACAAUAAUAUGUCCAAUAAGUGUUUGCAGUUUCUGUAUUCGUCCAUUGUUUGCAGGAAUUCUAAUAAACACCUGUAGUACCUGUUUUUUUAAUGAAAUUCCUACUGCCUAUUAGCUUGGCCAGUAAGGAAAUGGGACAGCAUGUUUAAAAUUUGUCAUGCUGUAGGUUCAAAUCCACAUGGGGGCACAUAUAGGAAACUGUUAUCCUGGUUUAAUCUACUCAUACCAUUUAUUUAGAAAAGCAUAUUCCACUUACAAGCAUAUAUUUUGAGCAUGGUUGUGAAUAACUCUGUUAUUUUUCAAAUUUAUCUGAACAUAUUUGUAAUCCGUAGUGGUCUAUUAACAACAGCUAUUUAACAGCAGGGUCAGUAAAGCUUGCUGCAGACUGUUAUAUGUCUGACCAAUGCUUUGGUUAAUAUUGUAUACUUUGUAAAAGUGCUAUCAAGUUCUGUUUUAUCAAUAAAUAUUACAUUCAAUUCAAGAACAAUAUCAUCCUCAAGUUUUGAGGGAGUGGGAUGGGUAGUCUAACAGCUGAAAUACAGAACAGGGAAGAUGUAUGUAUUUUGUUAGCAAUGUGCACUUUGCCAAGGAAUAUCAUGGUCUUCACACAUACCUUACUGUGUCCCUUAUGUACAGCAACUUGUAUAGUUCUGCUCACAGAAGCCAUAUGCUACAUGGCACUGUCCUAUUGUUGGAGAAUGAAUGAUUUCCAUUGCUGUUAAUGUUUCUGGACACAGUGCUGUCAUGAAUUAAGGUUUUCAAACUCUUUAGGUACAUGACCAGAAAAUGUACAUACUUUGAAAUCGUAAUCCAGCAUCAAUAUUAGUAGACCAUUCCCCCAUCCAGGUGAUGUCAUAAAAAGAAGUCUUUUCACUGUAUUCAAAAGAGGCAUUUUCAGCCAGGAUGGAUUAGCUAGCUAGGUAGCUUUGAAGGUUAGAAACUGAAUGUACAUUGUAGUUGCAGGUUUAAAUCUCAUGAACUCCAAUAUGUUUUCAAAGAUUUUAAAACCCUGUAUGUAAUACUGAAAAUGUACAUGUUGAUUAUCUAAAGUUCUUAAGGAAUAAAUUGACCAAAAGCUG
This is a long non-coding RNA of Protopterus annectens (West African lungfish), 2191 nucleotides long. RefSeq lists it as uncharacterized. Lineage: Eukaryota; Metazoa; Chordata; Ceratodontiformes; Protopteridae. The transcript is spliced from 2 exons. The record is from RefSeq and is a predicted model, not a curated record.